GCUUGUGCUGCGGCGGGCUUUUUCUUUUUCCUUUCUUGUAGCGCUGUGGGGCCGGGGGUUGACAUCCCCAUCGCUCCCGUGGCGGGGGGCGGCAGGACCGCUCGGUCGGCUGCUUUGGUUUGUCUUUAUUUCGCUCCGUGUCUCCCCUAAGAUCUGUUUAUUUAACAACACCGUUUAAUUUCCACCUGUGUUUCUUCGCCAUCAAUAUUAAUGCAUCGCAGUACUUCCCCUUCUGCCUUCCUUCCCUCCCCAGCCCUCCUUUCCCCACGAGCUUCUCGCAUUUAAGAGAUCUCAUUGCAGGAAUAGGUUCUUAGCAUCCUCCUUGCUUCCACUCGGAGUGCAAUCCCUUCCUUUGUUAAGUGUUUGAUACAGGUGAGCAAUUAGCUGUAUUCUGUAAGGUUUUCUCACCUGGAACAGCCAGGCUCUUUUCUAACCUGGUUACCACGUGUGCUUCUUUAGAUUGGGAUCACUCAGUGUGACAAGAAAACGUUUCUAUUCUUUGUUUGAUACCCACACCGAUGCUUGAGCUCUGCAUAGUUCUUAGAGACAUAAACUGCUCCCUUCAGGUCUGACACAUCCACAGAAUGCAGCUCUCAGCGUCUCUGUGCUCUUCCCUCCAUCUCUCAGCUGCAAUCUGUACCACUGCUUUUUGUGCCCAUACAAACAGAAGUAUGGGACUGUUUUCCUAAUCUGGUUUUGCUUCUCUUAAUUUCUUAGGCUUUUCUUGCAGUUUGAAGUGGAAACGAUGCUCCUCACGUUCUGUCCUUAACUGCUAUGAAGUAUACUUUUCAACUACUGCAUUUCCUGUGGCAGCUUCCUCACCACGCUCUGGGGUUGGCCUACCCUGGUGUUGGUUGGUUCUUCGUCCUUCUGUCAGCGUUUUGUUCAACUUGUGUGUCCUUUCCCUUCAUCUCUGAGUUGUUUCUUCGUAAUGGAAACUUCCAGCAUCGUUUCAGAUGGUCCUUCUGAGGCUGCCAAGGCCUGGUGAACAGGGCAGUCGCCUUUUGAGUCGUCCUGAAGGCUGUGCUCCUGCAAGCCUGCCUUUCUUAUGGAUGGUUGUCAUUAUGGGGCCUUGAAUCUUUCAGUAUUACAUGAAAUUGUUUCAACCUAUCUGUUGUAAACUGUUUGUGAUAGCUUCUGUGUGGGCUGAUAAAGUUUCCUUUUUGAAAGGGAGUUCAUCUUGCUCAGUGAUUUCUGUGAGAGCUGUAAGGCUCUAUCUUGCUGCCUGUCCCCCUGCUGUAUCUGAAGGAAGAUCGUCUGAUAACUGCUGGAACUUUACUGGUCAAAUUGUGGGCAGGAAAAAGAAAGUAAGCUUACAAUGUAUGGCUGUGUCUGGUUCAGUACCCAGGUUGCUAAGAAUUUUGAGGACAGAAAUGAAUUCUCUUUUAAAUUGUUUCAUUAUUAUUUUAUUUUAUUUUUUUUCCCUUUAGAGGUUAAGAUUCUCAGACAAGGAGAAAGGAUGAAACUGAUGUCCUUAAACUGAUUUCUUGCAUUAAGCAUGCCCUAUAAACAGCUGUAAUUGGCUUUUAUGGAUUCAGGGGAAUAGCUGAUCUGAAUCGCUCUGAAAUUGGAUGGCUUUUAUUUAUAGGCCUUUAUCCUGUUCUCAUUGCCAUGGAGCAUCUCAUGAGCUUUUGUUUCAGGCUGGUGAUGGAGGGCAGGACUGCAGGAAAGUGCAGGUGCCAGGAGUUGGAGGGGGGCUGCUUGGGCCUUCGUUUGUGCUGCUAAGUCAGAUUGGUCUUUUUCCUGUGUGUGCAGUGGGUGUUUGGUGCCUUCAGAAGAAGAUGGACGUGUGUCCAAGUGAAGAAAGGGCCCUUGAUAGCAGGAUGUAGCAGCGGGCACGGUGGUCUCAUGAGCAAAAGCAAUGGGAUGAAACACUUUGCCCGCAGCUGCUGAAGAAACCUGUCCCAUCGGAGUGGGAAAGAAGGGAAGUGUGUUUUCUUUGUUUAACCAAAAAGUAGCAUUUUAAAAGGGAAUAAGCUACUUUGCUUGUGCUGCACUGUUGUUCAAGACAGCUGUUAAACUGGCAUGUAAACAAAUACUGAAGUUAAUUGAGCUGCUUGUGUCUCUAAGCAAUGAGCUCUCCGUUCCUGUGAAGCUGCACAAGUUCUGCUCUCUGACAAACCUGGGCUGUCUCCAUUGCUCACUCCAUAGUGAAGCAUGGACACAGCAGCCACGCUGCCGUGCCCAGGGCAAGCUGCAUGCAGGCAGUGUGGUGCAGCAGAGAGGAGCUGCUAGAAGCAGCGUGCCUCCAAGUGCUGUGAGUGCUGCUGUCCGAGGCCCUGCAGGUUGUUGGGUUCCCCAUCCACCAGGCCAGCAUCACAUCUGUGCCGUCCUGCUGAUGCCAACAGCUCUCGGGCUCUUUGUAGACUUCUGGUAAUGAUCUGUGUUGGGAUAUAAUACAUUGAAACUUGUCCUUUUAAAUUAUUUUUAUGCACGGUUCUGCAGAACAAAAGCUGUGAUUCCUUUUAAGUGCUGGCGUUCCUCAGCCUAACCCUUAUCUGCUCUGAAGGGAAGAAGCUGGGCAGGCAAUCUGGCCCUUGCUGCUCUCACUGUCUUCCCUACCCUCAGGGAUGCAAUAUGCUGUAUUGGAAAGGAGAGACUGACCCAGAAAGAGAGGAUGUUCUGCGUAUGUAGUUCUAAAAUGCACGGUUUAAAAAAGAAGUAAGUUUAAAGCAAAUGAAAACAUAAACCAUUUGAUUUCCCCUCCUCCAUCCCAGGGGAACAGCCUGCAGGAAGCACAGCCCUGCACGUGUGUCUGAGGGUCUCUGUCGUGUUGUGCUGCUGGAGCACACAGGAAAUAUUUUCCUGCUUAUUUAUGCUUCAGCUAAAUAUAACAUUUCUCCACCUCUGGUGCUGCAAUUACUAUUAAACAACGUGGCAAUUGGGAGUUCAGUCAUUGACAAAUCUUCCUCUGACACGGAAGUCCCAUUUAAAUUACUUAAGAUCUUGAUAGCUUCUGCUUGUUUAAUGUUAUGGAGGGGGCUGCAGCCUGGCUAAGGGAGCAGUGCUCUCCUAUGAAACCUUUAGUAGGCCUAGCAGUGUCUUCUUUAGAGAUGCUCCCAUCUCUUACUCGUUGUUUUUCACCAACUGUUGUUUUUUAGUUUUCCUAAUGAAAACUUACUGACUUAAAGGACAUACUGAAUAUAAAAUGCCUUUUUCUCUCGUGCCUCUUACUAGUUUACUGGUAAGUUUCUUUGCAGAGCUGGCAGCUGCUGUGUCCUCCUCCUUGUUGCUUAGUUUCCUGGGGCAUUGCUUUACAAGUUGUCAGCUUUGGAGUAUUGUUAUCACGACCAGUGAAGUACAGCCCAAAGAAGCAGUGGCAGCAGUCAGCUCUUGGUGGGCAGGUCAGCCCUCCUCUGUUGCCUGCUCACUUUAUUUCAGUGUUGAUCCUUAGGUUGAAGGAAGUUUUGUCUUGGUUCCAGUUUUGCCUUUUCUUGUUCUUGGGGUGUGAUGCUGUUUGUGGCAUCUCGGAUAUAAAAGUUGCAGCUUUCAAAAUACGAAGUUAAAUGGAAGCGGUGAGUGAAACGUGCACUGCACUGAUCUCCUCUUGAGCUGCAGCUGCACUGAGUUCAUGUGUUGGGGGAAAAAAGUCACUUAAAAAUUGGGUGAGGUGCUGCAAGGAGUCCCUGUCUGCCCGCCGCGAUCCGUGCUGUCAGAGCAGCCAAGGAAGGCUGGGAGGUCGGGCUGCUGUGUGGUGUCUGCUGUUAUUCUGUGCCACUGAAACAUUUACUUAAGAGCUGCGUGAAUGAAGGCUGCCUUUCAGAAGGGAUCUGCUGGAAGUAUCUGGGUGUGAGAGGGCACCGACUGAGGAUUUCCAGAGAGAUCUAUAACUGCAAUUCCUGUGUCUUGGGGAAUUUUCCAAGACAGAAAACAGCCUUUGGGCAGCUCAGCUCUGUGUAGCUGCUCCCUGCUCACAGCCUGCAGCUCAGGGCUUCGUCUGCAGCCACAACAAACCACGUCCUCCCAGCACCUGGGGUGACUCGGCCCUGCUGAGGUAAGGCAGCUCUGUGCGGGCAGUGCUGGGAGCUCUCGCUGCCCUUGCGAGGCUGUCAUGGGCAGCAGACUUCAGAAAUGCUCCCGUGUUUCUAGAGCUCAACCGACUCGAAGCUUUCACUGUCUUCACAUCUGGCCCCUGCACGUCCCUUUAGCAGUAGGUAUGCACUGAGCUGCUCUUCUUCUCUGAAUGGUGCUUGCUUUAUGUAAGCUGGCCUGGCAACAUGAAGGCAGCGCUCGUCAGCUGCCUGCUCCAAGUCUCUGUGCUGUUCAGUUCAGCAUGGGAAUUCAACCAGAGCCUCAUUUCUGAUUAGUUUCAAUAUCCUUUUAAUUUAUUGGGUACUGAGGGUAACGCACGUGUUGUUGGUGUAAAGGGACCUUGAAAGCAGAGGAAGAAAUAGGUAUGUAUUAGAAGUAGUUGGGAAUUUGGACAAGAGAAACAGAAUUUCUAAUACACUGACUGGAAGCUGUUCCUCUGGAGGGUUCUGCUUCAAGGGAUAAAAACUGAUGAAGGCUAAAACCACAUUUGCAUUUCUGAGUUGGGUUGUACAAACCCAUUAGGUCCCAGAACCACCUACAAAAUGCCUUAUUUUUAUUUUUUUUUUGCAGCAGUGUAGCACUGCAGUGUCUGUGGCUUGUGUGUUUUGCCAUUUGGGCAGGCUUCAUAUGUGUCAGUAGCUUUUUGCCCAAGUGCAGUUGCUCUGGGUAUGCAUCUUAUCAGCAUUGCUCACUGCAGGCUGAUCAGAAGGCACAGAAUGUUGCUGUAGGAUGAGUCAUGCAGUUAAGCAGCUUGUUGCUUCCAUGGUGAGACGCACCCUUGUUGUGUAUGCCAGCAAUCAUGAAACUCCUGGCAAAUACCCUGUGACGUGAACUUCUUAUGGCCUUGGUAAAUGAAAUGCCUGUGGCACUUGCUGGGAUGUGUUUUGUUUGUGCCUGCUCGCUGCUUUUGGGUAUUCUGCUCCUCCUUCUCCCAAGGAACUCCUCAGCUGAGACUUCAGUGAAGAAAUUACAGCAUCAGUGCAGACCAUUUCGGGGUGAAAUCAGUGGGGCACUUAAAGCCACAGCUUAAAUAUUCUAAUGUCUUUGGUUACUUCAGCACGAGGAGUUUAAUCUGUCCUAUUUUGAAAUAACUGUUUUAUCACAGAUCAUCCUGUCCCUGUGCUGAGCCCAGGAGGCGGUUUGGAUGCCUGAUCUUUUUGCCCUGAGGGCAGCACACAGAGCGCAUCUCUAGGAAGCGAGUGUGGGAUUUGUGAUCCAGGCUCCUUGUUGCACAGCUCACCUCCAGCCCACAGCCCAGUGAGGUGAGCCAAGAGCCACUCUGAGAUGAGAGGGAAGUAGGAUAUGAAGGGCAGAAGACCUCAGCCUAACUCCUCCAUCCAUCCAUCCAUCAGGUCUGACAUUGUCUCCUCAGUGGGCUCUAACACACUUGCAGCAGCAGUUGGUGUGUGAUGCUGUCUCAUAGGAGACAGUCUGCAAUCUCCUGCUGUUCGUUUUCUGUAAGUGGCUUUGUGUUGUUGGAGUGGGACACGCCAGCAGGAGGUCAGGACAGGCUCCAGGCACAGGUUUACCUUCUCUCUCAAGCACAAGUAGGUGAGAGUGGCAGCAGGAGGCUUUUGUUGAGGGUUACUGCUUCCACUUCUUAGCUCUCAAGGCCUCCUCAGCAAAAAUGCAAAAGCUGCUGAGCUGGACACCUUUAUCUUCAAUUUUUAACUGUAUUUCAUAUCUGAGAAAUGGAUUCUUAAUGUGGAAAGCUGGUCCUCUUACAAGGGAAUGCAGUUGUCCAAUUACCCUAGCUGGCUGCUGCCGUGUCCCUUCCGUUUUGAUGUACAGAAUUAUCACAUUUAGCAUUAAUGUGAGAACUUUUAAGACUCGUUCAGCUGGCUUGGUUUACCUUCAGUGGCUAACAUCUGAGAAAUGUGUAUAUUAGAUUCCUUAAGAAAAAAAAAGGACAAAAAACACUCCAGGCUUUUCAUCUUUAUGCCUUUUAGUGUGAUGAUGAGAGGGAGGGCUUAGGGCAUGUGCUGUGCAUGUGUGAAAUGCUCUGCUCUCUGAAGGGGAGCUUUGGAGGUAGCCUGAAUUUUCUUCCUGAUGCAGGACCAGCCCUUUCAUGUUUCUGGAAUAGAGAUUGAGUCUUUUUCUUCUCUAAUCCUUUUUUGUUGAUUGUUUUCCUUUCUACAGUCCUCCUGGAUGGUACGAAAUAAUUUAGGACACAGAUCUGGGCAUGCUCUUCAGUGAUGCUUUGGAUUUAAACACAGCGCUUCAAAAAGUGGUAUUAAAGUUACCCAGGACACCAGAAUAUGGCAGCUAGUUGAAGCGUGAGCCCUGAAAUGACAGAGUUCUCUUUUUACCUUUUAAAAUUGCAGCAUGGCUGACAAAGACUUAAUUCAUUUCCCAAACAAGCAUUUUUUUCUUAUGUAACAUCCAGUGAGUUUUGCUGGUGGGAGUUUCUUCUGCUUUUGUUUUCAGCUGAGUUGUGCUUAGGUGGGGUAGCUAGCUUAGGACUUCAAAAAGAGAAGUGAAACCAAUCAACCUGCUUUUUGACACUGCUCCUUUCUUGGUGAUACUUUUGGUUGGUCUCACAACAAUUAAAAGACAUUCAAGCCUGAACUUCAGCUUCUAAAUGAAUCUCCAGACGUUUGGUUCCUCUGUGGUGUGGGUUGGGUCUGGACAUAGAAAUCUGUGUUCAUGUUAUCUCUGGCUGCUUGUCAGCUGGCUGAGGAAGCUCCUCAGUGAGGUGGUGCAGAUCAGUUGGGCUCUCCUGCGCACCUGCAUCUCAAAUGGAAGCUCUGGGGGCAAAACAAUGAGCACAGCAUAUUUUCAGCUGCCUUCCCUGUAUUUGGGCUUUAUUAUAGAAACUGUCAGGCAAGGGAGGCAUUAUCAGCUAGCACUUAGAGUACGGCUGGGAUCGUUUGCACAGAGGGGAGCGAGCGUUUGUCACGUGCUCUGCAGAUCCCCACUCUCAACGUGUGCUGUCAGCUGUGCCAGUCUCCUGCAGCCCACACUUCUGCUCUUUGAAGUGGAAUUUUUCUCUUACACGUACACCAACAACUGCUCCGGUCUGCAGGGAGCUCUGUGUAACUGAGAGGUGUGCGUGCGUGUGGAUGCUGAGAUGGUUAUUUCGGGACAGUUUCUGUCUGGCUCUCCUACAAGGAAUGAAGUAUGGUUUGAUGUUCUCUUGAGGAGAGGGGAAAGCUUGGUGUCUGGUUAGAAUUUGGCCCGAAGAUGGCUUGACUCAGAAUAAGCUUGAGGAAGUGCUCAUGUCUUGGUUUUUAAACUUGAGAUGCGGCUCAUUUAAAAAUAGUAAAACAAGCUGAGAUUUCAUUACGUUUAAACUUACAAGUUUGGUUUUAGGAGAGAACGUCUCGAGCCAAGGAGGGUUGGUAUGUAGAUAGCCCGAGGGGAGAGGCAGUCUGUUGUCAGAACUUCGUGUAGUCGCUGUGAAACAGUACAUCCUGGACGUUUUUGACUCUUCUUGAACUCCGCUUUGAUGUGAAUCCUGCUUUGCAUGCGCUGUGGGAAAUGCUGAAAAGCCCCAAAGCUCUGGAGGUGCAUCAGCAGCGGGUGAGCAGAGGGCCUUCCUGCAGGGAGGGGACACAGAGGGAUCUUCCAGCUGUGUUCUGAUGGCAGCCAGCUUUGCCAGCGUGCCGCCCUCUGCUCUGAGCACAGCUCGGUCCCAGCAGCUCAGUGCUGGAGCACCGCUGCUCAGCCCUCCUCACUGCCUCAGCCUUGGCACUGCCCCAUCACAGCAUCAGGAGGGGAAGCUGCUCCCAAGAGUCUUUAACACACGAUGGUGGCUCUGACUGAAAUAGAAUAAUCGUAUUUUAAAGGGUGCUCUAAAGGUUUAUAAAUAUUAAUUUUGUUCUUUUGUUUCCUAAUAAAGGGGUUUGAUUCAUGAAAUCGCUAUUUAUUUAUUAACCUGACAAACUAAUAGCAAGCUCUCUUCUUUCAGUGUGUGCAUGUGCCAUAUCACAAUUCUGCUUGUCACCAUACAUAAGAACUUCAUUCAUCUGCUUUAAAAUGUCAUUGAUAACAACUUGGCAGUGGCCCAGCUCAGAGCAAGUUAACUACAAAAGGCUGCAUUGUAAACCUUUCUGAGAGUACAUGCUACAUUAAGUCUAAAAUUAAAGUACAGCCUGGUCCAGGCUGCAUCUAACUGCCAAAUAGCUUCAAACCUCUGAAAAAAUGGGGCUCUGUAUGGAGGAGCUGUGCCUGAAAAUGGGAUAGAUUGGAAUUAAGGGUGCAGUCUGCUCACUUAAACCCUCAAGGUACUGAAUUUAUAGACCUUGUAAAAUGAGAGAGGAUAUCAUAGUGAACCACAAGUAGCAAAAUGAGGACCUGGUUAUUUCCUUUGGUCUCCUCUUUCUUUGACUGAAUGCCCAGGAUGAGAAGUGCAGUCUGCAAAUGAGUCGAAGCCUCUGGGAGUUGAUUGAGGUGAUUUUGGAAUGGUACUUUGUGUCAUUUGUAAUAACCUUCCCUGACCCCAGCUGCAGUCUGCUCACCAAACACGUUUGUUCACCUGUGGGUUCGCAGGGUGGAAGCAGAGAGCCUGACAUUGUUGUGUGCGGGGCUCCCAGGAGCCUCCACCGUGGUGAGGCACUGCUCAUGAGGGCUGGCUGCGUCCAGGCAGCCCUGGUUGACCCAGCUAAUCUCACUGAACUAAGUGGAGCAGAGCAUGAGUCUUUAAGGCACCUUCAUGCCAGGUCCCCUGGGAGCAGUGUGAGCAUGUAUUAGCGUCGUGCUCAUCCCGUGCUCUGAGGAUGGGAAUGGCUCAGGCAGAGCAGUGAGGGGCUCUGCAGGGUGUGUGGUCUGAUAGCUGGCAUGGGGACAGCGAGAGCCUUCAGGAGAGGAGCAAGGGGGUAUGAUUUCAUGCUUCUUCACUUCUGUGGUUUCUUCUGUUUUGUCUCUUUCUUGAGUAUAGCAUAUGGACAGCGCCAUGGGUUAGGGAGCUCUGCGUCUUCAGAGGCUUUUCCUAUAUAGCCUUCCACUGAAGUCAAUGGGCGUGGAGGUAAGCUUUCUGACAACACUCCCACCACCCACUCUGCACCUUGGUGCACACAACACUUGUAUUUGAGUGUUGGUUUUCUCCCAAAAAGUCGCAUGCAGUUGCACAAUGAAGACACUGCUUAUUUGUGUCAAGCAGAUCUGGCUGUAGCUGUUGGAAGAGUGCAAGCAGUGAGCAUCAGUGUGGGAGACUUCACCAGUACUGCAUGAGCACUUGCCACUGCUGUCAAACAUUGCCACGGCCAAUUAAAAUACAACUUCACUGCUGAUCUGUGAGUUGAGUGUGGUUUGAGUGUAGGGCCGAAUGUCACUGAGUGAAGUGUUUGUGCUCCCGAUGUUCAGCACCUCUUGCUCUGCUGUGAUUUAUUUGUACCAGUUCUGAGUUUAGUCUGCCAACAAGUAAUCACUUUAUCAUGAGCCACUCAGAGUCAGCGAGAGUUUCCUGUUUCCUUGUCUUUCUGUUGAUUUCCUUUCUGUUGAAAUACAACUUUCUCCACUGAAACAAGAAUGUUGCUGUACUCAUCGUCUUCCAUCUAGUGGCCCAGAGGGAAGGGGAACCUCUGCAGUAUUCCCACAGGGACGUCGACAUCUGGGUCUGGUGACUAAAUUGUUAUGAUAAAACACAAAUUCAUUAAUUGAUGCUGCUGAAAUGCACUGACUUUUCUGUACUCCUAAUAGGAGGCUUUAAAAUAUCCAGCUGCAGGCUGAUCCUCUCCAAGCAUGUGAUGCUGACAUCAGUCCUAGAAGUGAGGCGUUGAACUGCCUCCAAAAAUGAGCUCAUUGGAUGAUAUUCAAUGCACUUAUUUAACAUAGAAUUAGCUAAUUUGAUUACAUGAUCACCUGCACUUACUGUUUGAGUGAUGAGAACUCAUUCCAGUGCUAGCUGCUGUCAUUUAAGUGUUGGUGUUGUAACCCCGAGGUGCUCUCGGUAGGAUGCCCUGCUGCUGCUGUGUGGUGGGAGCUGGGCUGGCAGAGCCCUCCCUAUGUCCCUAUGGACACUGCUGUAAGACUUGCCAAGUUCCUUGACUUUUCUUCUUCCUCUCCCAGGAAGUUAUAGGGGAAUAAGAGUUUGGGACUUGACUGUUAAGCAGGCCUUCUAAAACCGCUCAUAAGACUUAGUUUUUUUUUUAUGACUCUCUUGUCUUGUUUAAAUGUCUGCCUAAAAACACAGCUAUGUCCCCUUGUGGGAGUUUGGGCAGUGGUUCAGCUGAAAUCUGUCCUGCCAUCCAGCCUACAGCAGCCAGUCAUCACCAAAAACAAAUUAAACCCUGGCACGACCUCCUGGAGGCAAGUUGCAUGUGCUGAGCUUCCUCACCUCCUCCAGCCUGAGGUCAGCAGUAAUUGCAGACUUCCUCUCAAUACCUGCACAGAGCGUCCAGGCAGCACAUGGGAAUGAUGGUGACCCUGGAUACACCUCUCCAUUGUUUGGGAGACUUCAACAUGUUAAGCAUUUACCUGUAGUCAUAAUAAGAGUAUGUCUUAAUUGCUAGUGUCUGAGCAUAUCAAUGCAUACCUGACUUAACAUUUGUUUUUCUAAGCAUGGGAAUUAGAUAACCAGUAUGUCAGCAGAAGGAUUCCUGUGAAUUUGCCCCAAAACAGUGUCAUUUUUUCUCCCCCCCCCCACCCCUCAGUAUUUUCUCCUUGUUAUUGCACGUUGCAGGACUGCUUGCUCUGGAGAUCCCUGCUGAAUGGAAGUCUUUAUUGAGCUGGCCGUAACAUUGCUCUUCUCUUUCAAGAAAUACUGCUGCUAGGACAGAGGAAGAUGCUGUAUCUCACAGGGCUCUAACAGUGUUGCCUGACUGUGAUCUGUAACCAACUCAGGAAUUGAGUUGGAAAAAACACUGAGGUUCUGCAUAGGAAGUUAAAGUGAGGAGAAGCUCUUAAAGAAGUGCAGAGCAAGGGAAAAAGCUCAGUUUGAAGAGCAAGCAGUAGCAAGUGAGAUGGGAAGAGUGUUGCUCCUGUAAGUGUAAGUGAUGCUGCAGAGCAGGCAGGGGGGCUGCGUGGUGCUGGCCCUGAGCUCUGACACCCAGGGUGGUGGGAUCCUUUCCUGCUGCAGGAUUACAGGAAGCUGGCACGUUUCCAGAGUGAGUUCCUGAAACAUCCUCAGUGGGGAGGAGGUUCGGGAUGACAGAACGCUUAUUCACACCCAGCAUGUCAGCUACAGCAGCAACUGCUUGCAGUGGCUGAACGGCUGCUGCCCGUUUCCGUCACCUCCCAGAGGUGUGUCUCAGCCCCUGCUGCUGUGUUCUGCAGCACUACGUCAGCAGCAUCCUUCACCUGUCUCUGCAAAGCAAUGAAAUGAAUGUCAGCCUUUCCCAGCAGAACUCCUGCCCUGCACGUGUCCCAGGGUUGUUCAGAAUGCACACGGGGUGUGGAUGUGCAGAGCUGAGCUGCACCCCGUGCUGCCCGAGGGCAGGCGAGGAGCCCAGCCUGCCUGCAGCCCGGAGAGCCCUGCCAGUGCCUGCAGGAGGGGGUGGGGAGGGAAGCAGAUGCUCCUCGGAAGUUCAUACCGUGGUUAAUAAUGUAAUUCACAGAUGGUGGUGGAGGCCUUGAAGAGGCUUUCAUGCAGUACUUACGCUCUGUAAUAGACAGAUCAUCGCAUAAGGGCUCGUAAAUAGAGAUGACUUAAUCCCAAGGAUGAGUCUGCAGCGAUCUGUUUGAUAGUGGCCCUGUGGCUCGCUGUAACCUUCUUAUACAAUCCAAAGCCUAUAGCAUCCCUGAAUGUGGAGCACUGCCUCCAGACUGGGCCGAUCUCUGAUAAAAGCGUCAAGAUAAAAUGCAAAUACAGAUUUGAGAUCUCAAAUGGAAAUGGUUCUUAUGACAUAGAAAACAAAUUCCUUUGUCCUGGUACAGAAAUCAAUACAGACAGUGCAGGUGUGAAAUUGCUUAACACAGUGCCUUCCUCUUGAGAAGCAGUUCUGCUUUUAUUUUCCUUUAUACAGUAGGCAUUGGAAGCAAUGUUUUCUUCUGAGUAGCUGUGCAUCUUGAUGGAUAAGGAAAGGACCAUGCAUUGCACGUCCUCUUGGGUUUGCUUAUUUGUUUACUUGUUCGGAAGAAGGUCACUCCAUGCUCCAUAGCAGAUGAACAAGCUUUCUUUCCAGGAAUCACAAAAUAUAUAGCUUAAGUCUCAAUGAAACAAUGCAAGCAUUUGUUCUUGGGAGGCUGAUUGUGGAGGUCUUCAGUGAGCGCUGGCUGUAAGCUGUGUAACUGCAGGUCUGUAUUAGGGGCUUCCAAGCUGAUACGUUUACAUUAAAAAGCAAAAGUUCUGGAUAACACCAGAGCUGAUCUUGUUGUGCGUGUGCAGCUCCCACUUCCAAGGGAUUUCCAUAGUAAUAGCUUUGAUUUUUAAUUUCUCCAAGUUGAAAUCAUUUAGUAAAUUGGCUUCUUGUGAUGCUUGUCAUGUGAUGGUUCAUGAGCCCUGAAGAAUGUGCUCCUGUGACUGCAGCCAUGUGUUUGCCUGUACCAGUGCGGGUUGUGCUGUGUUCCUGCUGUGUUUGGAGCUGGGGAGCGAGGCUGGGGGUGGUGAGGGCUGCCUCCACAAUGACUGACAUUUCCAAGCAGCAAAAAAUGCUGCCGAUGAAGUUGUGUCCAGCUUCCAGUCCUGCUGCUGUGUGGAGGCCUGCUGUUGGGCUGUGCUGCUGCGCUGCACUGCCUGCACACUUGGAUUAAUCCAGUGUUUUUUUGGAGCACCUUACUUCCUCCAAGCUGCACCUUGUUUUCAGCUCUCCCUCUAAUACUUGUUGCUUCACACUUCAGGAUUUAGCUUGCUGUUCAUGCUUGCAUUAAAAAACCAAAGGUUCAAAGCCUCAGCUCACAUUGUGUAGCCCCAGCAGUAUUUCCACUUGGCUCAGGAGAUGCGGAUAUGUCAGCUGAGGGAUCCCUUCUCAUUUGGCUGGUCAGCCAAGCUCUCCUCAAGCGCAUUAGGAGGAUCUACAGCUUAAGUUCAUCAGAAGACUGACCUGUUCUGGUUUUAAUGAGAUUUAUUAUACGUGUACCUUUUGGAUUUGACUGCUUUGGCCUUCAAAACAGCCUGUACAAAUCUGUUAGUAAAAGCGGGGCUGGCGGAAAGCUGACUCCUCAUUCUGAACCUGCCCUCCUUCCAGAUUAUGGAUUCCUUUAAAAUGAAAAUACCAUCCCUUGUGCUGCUGGCACGCGGCUUGGCUGCACGGCUUCGCCAAGUGCUGGCAUUGGUGCUUCCUUUCGAGCUCCUGCACAACUCCCUCCUAGGAAACCGCAGUGAUGGAACGCUGAUCCUGCGGCUCACGUUUGGGGAGGACAGAGGAAAGCUGGACAGCUGUCACAGCUGAUGGAUGGGUCACGGUGUGCAACUUCUGCAGGCACAGCUACAGCCCUGUACGUGUCUGGGGGAGAACGGAGGCAGGGCUGUCCUCACAUACACAUGUGGGCAGGGUAUGAUUUGAUCCAGACUUACAUGUGUGGUACAGAUGUGGUUGUGAGCAUGAGAUGAGAAGUUACAGUUGCUCUGCACGUAUGUUGACCUGCAGGAUAUCAGCACCCACACGUUUUUAAGUGUGAUUUAUUUGUUUGAAAAAACUGUGUGUGUGGUUGUUUUUGGGGGGGAUGGGGGGAGAGUAUGUUAUUGUGUUGUGGCUUUUUUUUGGCCAGACUUUGUUUGGUAGUUGUGCAUUGGAUGGUUGUGCAUUAGGUGGCUCUGUUUGGCCAGAGCUGCCCCUCAGCCUUUGGUGGGGUUGGACCUGGGGUCCACGGCUGGGGAUGGGGUCCAUGUGGGGAUUCCACUCAUCUCACCAGGACUUGGAGAGCGUUGCAGCUGGGCACCCUCUGGAGCUGGGAAGCAGAGUGUGGUUUGUUGGGCUGUGUGCUCUGGCUGUUUGUGUGCGCAGCCCUACAGUCUGCUGAGAUGAAUGCAUUGCUGGGUAUAAUGCCUUUUUUUGUUGUUUUUUUUUUUUUGUUUUUUGUUUUUUUUUAAUAAAUGUACCUAUUAAUGGAAGCAGAGUACAUAAUGUAAUCCUAAAAUAGCUCCUCCAUGAAUGCAGAAACAUUCCACUUGUGACUAAUCAGCCAUUCAGAACGAGCAUUUAAGUAGGUAGCAGAGGCUUUCCAUAUCUGUGGUUAGGAAUGCGCUGGGCUCAGCCUUGCCCCCCCCCAGCCCAUACCUGCUGUCUCCACAAGCACCCUGCUCACUGCCUGCCUGGGGCUGCCCAUCCUGCUGCUCCAGGCUGAAGGAUGAUGCUGAUAAACAGUCCUCAAAACCAGACCGGUGCUUCUCUUGCUCGUGAAUGAACCAGAGCACAAAGAGUGUAUGUUCUGAGCCCUGGCUGCAGUGCAUGGCCUGGAGAGCUUGGUGAGCCGGGCAGCCCAUGGGCAGUGUGCUCCUGAAGAGGCCUUUUCCUUCUGCCUCUCCAAGUCCAGCAAUGCCCUACGGCUGUCUUAUUUAGAGAUGACCUCAAAGGCAAGUUGUGCUCUCUUCCCAAAGCGGGAUUUUCACGGGGGCUUACGCUGGUUUAAGAUUGCAUUACCCUAGCGUAGCAUAAACCUGUUUCCAGUUAUCUGAAGGCAGAAAGCAGCUCGGGGAUUUGGAUUGAUUCCUGCUGACUUCACCAAUCCCUAAGGAGCACUUUGCCCCCACCUACCUGCUCCUAAUUUCAGGCAAUCAGAUGUGUCCUUUGCUGUGCUACGUGGCAGGACAGCCUUUGGGAAGCAGCCCCAGCACACCCUGCUCCUCAGGUGGCUGCUCACUCAGGGCACUGGCCAAAGGGAAGGUGUUUCACAGAGGUUUACAUUUGAGGAGCGAUGCUGCCAGCUGUGUGCCACUUACCCAGCGUUUGCUCUUUGGAGGGAGAUGUGGACCGAGCUGCCCUGCCCGCCUGGAUAAACCAGCAAAGCCUCUGGAGAGAGAGAAACAGGACAUUGGUUCAUUAACAGAUGAAGAGCGCUGGAUAGCUGCGGGAAUUAAGAGCUGGACAGCAUUGCCUUUUUUUUUUUCCCUCUCCUCCCACAGCAAUUUGGACAGAUACCCAAAUAAACAAUAACAAACAGAUUUUUGGAGGAGCUGGCUGGGAGAAAUAACAAAAGUCAAGGGACGGUCAUUAUGCAGCUCAGUUCUUCUCAUGUCUGACCACUCUGGAAAGCCUCCUGUUACUCCUCAGCUUCAUUUUCCUUUCUCAUUUUCCCUCUACCCCCAUUGCAUGAGGUGCCAUUGUACUUGCUGCUGUAAGUUUGGUUGUGUCACCACCUCCUCCAUAGUGCUCGUUGCAUCGAGGGGAGGUUUGCAUCUAGCUCUAUUCAGUGACCCUAUGGUGACCAUGGGAAAAGUCACAGCUGCCAAGCUGAACUGUACCUACUUGAGAAUGGCUGCCUGGUUUUUCACGUACAUCAAUGCUAUGGGGAUUGAGCUGAGACUGCUGUGAGUGUGCAUCUAGGUGUAACUAAAACCCCCAAACUUGCUUUUAUUUGUGAAGUUGUUGCUAACAGGAAGAUGGCUGAUUGAUUGCAAGACAAAGACCCUUCCCUUCGCUGUGCACCUCCCUUCCUUCCACCCUCCUCCUCCUAAAAUAGCCCUUCAGCAUCAGGAGCGAAAACCAUACAUCUUCUUUCUCAAAGCACACUUAACGUUUGUCCAUUCCAUGAGAAACUGGGCUUUGUCCUAAACCAGAAGCUGGUGGAGCACCCAUCCUUCCCAACCACGUGGGGACAGCUUCACCUCUGUGAUUCUCACCUCUUGUGCAUGCCUGGCGAUGGGGUCCUCAUCGUGGUAACCUGUGCAGCCGGGCCGUCCCUGUGCCCAGCUGGUCCUGCUCCAGAAGCCCUGCCCUGGGACUCACCAGCCUACGUGUGAGUUUUUGACUUCGUCUUACCCAAACCAUACCUCUGACAUCAGCAACAAUGCCUGGUAUGCAGACUGGAGCUGUUAGAGUCAGUGAGUUUUCUCACGCUCCUCCCAUCACUGUAAGUGGAAAUGGACACCUGUAGAUUUCGGAUGUCCGAUGGACAGUCUCAUUAUCUUUGCCUAAAAGUAGACUGAAGGGAUACCUUCAAGGCUCUGGGAAGCCCUACAUUUCACAGAGAAUCCUCAUGCUGUCAGAUGUCUGCCUGAAAGUCAGAGGAGUCUGUUAGGGAGAUGCCAGGUUUUUUCUUAGUGUCUGUAUCUGUCUAGAUGGUGACAAGCAAUAUGCCACAACGCUGUUUUAGAGAGAAAUCAUCCAUAGCGCUGCUUCGUGUGGUGCAGAGAUUUUUAAUGUCAAUAUGAAGUGUUUGUGGGAUUUUUUUUUCCCUUGGGAGCAUCUCUGGGAUUAAAGCAAAAGCUGUUGUACUCCCCAUCAGGCGAGCUUAUUUCAUUGCAGCAAUUCAAUGGACAGUAAUCUUUUUAAUCUGUGCUCGUGCUGUAGUGUGGCAGGCUAUGUCGUUCUGUUCCUCGUUCUCACUCUUGUACCAGUUGGAAGCUUCUUGUGUCCAAAUGUUUGAGUGCUAUUUCUGCAGUUUUUAGUGAGGCUCAAUCUGGACGAAGUUUGUGUAAAUCCCUGAGCUCCAGCAGAAAGAUGAAAGCUCUGAUAAGGAACUUGUUUUUUCUCUCUCCAGAGCAAGAGCACAAUGUCUUUGACCUAAAUAUACCAAUUACUGAUGCAGCAAAGUGAUACAGAAAACAAUCUGGAAGGAAUGCCAACCUCUGAAUGAAAGCUUGGCUGCAGAGAGCGGCUGCGUAUGUGGGACCUCAAACACGGAAGAAAUGUGAGGAGGAAAAGGGUGUUCAUUCAAAAUGUAUCAUGCAAAUAGUGAUGGGAGAGGGAGAAACUGCUGGGAAAGCUGCUGCUCUGCCCCAUCCCUGUGUCUGUGGAGAGGUAGGAGCACUAACGCAGCACCGUGCAGCUCUCCCCUCCCCUUCCCUGGCCUACUUUGCUCAGCUCAGCUGUCUAAAGCACUUUUAUGUCAAACUCGAAGGCUUCCUGGCAGCAGCUGCUAUUUUUAAAGUGUUUGAUGGCAAAUGUAAGUAUUUCAGAAGGUGGCUAUGAGCUACUUCUUUGCAGCGUAGGGGACUCCAUUAAUUAAUUUUAUCAUUUGCAGUAGUGGUUAAGGUUAACCUUCUCCAGAGGCUGGGGGGUUCUGAAGAGCACUGGGUUUCUGUUCAGCCCUGAGACCCGUCCUGCGGAGGGGAGCCUUGGCUCCACUCUCCUUAUAUCUUCUUAUAUCACCACUCUCCUUACAUCAGCUCACACAAAUGGCUGCAGCCUGCAGGAUGUCUGUUCUGCAGGGGCUCUGCCUGCCCAUGUACUGUUGCUGUGGGCAGAUCCCCAUGUACAGCACCAAUGGAGCGCUCCCAGACGAAGUCAGCCUGGAAGUUGUGUUAGUUCAGCAUCCCCAUCCUGCCCUGGAAAUCCUGCUGAUGAAUUUGGGUGCAUUCUCAGGCUUCCUACCACAAAAAGGGAACCUUUUCUCGGCCCAGGUUUUCAAGUCAGUCCUUGUUUCCCUUUACCAGCCAGUGUUGUUGCUGGCACUUCAGGCUUACUGCAAAUGCAGCAUGUGUGGGCUUUAUGCAAACACAGUUUAUUUAAGAGAUUGGUACAACUCAAGCUACUGUAUGAAUAUCUCUGCUGCAGAAAGAUGCAAUAGAUAGUUGGCAAUCUGACUCAAACGUUUGUGUCUUGUUUUCUUCCAGCAGAAGCCUUGAGAUUAUUGACAGGAGCAGCCCUACACAGGGCAUACUGUCAAGUAGAAAUCUAUUGAAUAUUUCAUCUUGGAAGGUCUGAACUUGGGUUGUGUGUGAUGUCUGUGGACCCAGGCCUCUGUUCACGUGCAGCUCUGGGCAUCUCGUGGCAGUCCUGCACAGACUUGGGUACCGCGGGGUAGCUCUGAUGUCACUGUGUCAGUGUCAGCGGUUGAGCUGAGCUUUGAGGAACCCACAUGUACAACGGAUGCUCUUAUCUCUGGUGACUUGUACUGUGCUAGAAGAAAAGCUUGCUUCAUACUUGGUGACACCCAAGGAGAAGUCCUGCAUGGAAGAGCUUGCAGUGCACAGUGCAGCUGUAGUGCAGAGAUGCACGUGGGGAUCAGUGGAAGCAACAGAGAAGAAUAUUUGCACGCUUCAACAGUCGCCCAGCCUCUGAUUUCCCAGUGCAGCUGCACGCUUCCCUGCAGAGGUGGUUUUAGGCUCAGCAGCACUUGGUGUGUGUUUGAACAACUGGAUGGGACCUAGCUCAGGGACAGGCAGGCAGGAAAUGAGGAGCUUGCCUGUUUAAUUUUAGACCUCUUUUUUGAUUACCUCUUUUGAGUCUGGGUCUGCAGUUGUUCACAUGAUGCUGGCUUGACAGGUAAAAGGCGUCUGUGAUGGCACGAUCACAUCUGAAUCUUGCUACAGAUUUGGGGGGAUUCACAUAAACUAGGUUUCUGUUGUAUCAAUAAGAAGCUGCCAGUUGCUCUUUGCUAAGAGGUGAAAAGGCCUCAAAUUGUCACAGCAUUUUGUAAUAGCUUUUGUGUUUCUGCUCUUGCACAAGACCUCUCUGCUGGUUAAGUAAGGAUCAUUUUAAAAACCAUAGUAUUCACUUUGAAAUUUAACAGUUUUGUGAAAUGAGAAUGACUUCACAUCCACCUCCUGCUUCUGCCUGCCUGGAAGGAAUUGGGAUCUCUCGCUGCUGGUAUUUGUUGCUGUGCAGGGGGUUCUAUAAAAGUAUCUCAGACACUGGAAAGCAGUGAAGUUGCCCAUGCAGAAAGUGUCAGCCAGGCAAAAUUUAGAAAAUAGAGAAGUGGGGAGAAGUUCCUCAAUGUCUGAAGUGCGUACUUAGCAGCUGUCAGCUAAGUGUUGAGGCUCAUGGAGUGGAACAACCUGGCAUCCUGGUCCAUAUUGGCAGUGCUCUCUGUAUCGAUGGCUGCAGCUUGUUCCCAAUAGAAGCGUUUCCCAGGCACUGCCUGCACAGUCAGGUAUGUUGGCACAAAAUCGCAUGCAAUUAUUACUUUGGAAUCACUUUCAAGGCUUGCAGGACGUAUUUGCAGGGUGUAGUCUGUGUGAAGUGUUCCUGGUUAGAAAUGCCGUGAAUGUUACCCUAAUAAUCCUGUCUCUUGGAACAAAAGAAGCUGUUCUGAUGUUCCCAGUGUUAAGCACAGGCAGACACCUCCAAUCCUGUGCAUUAGAGCACAGACUGGAUCUUGUUUAUCACUGCAUCAGUCUGCAAGGAAGAGAUUUGUAGGAACGGAGCCGCUUGCGUGACACGGAGCGGCUGCCAUUGCACAGAGCAGAAUAACGCUCAGAAAUGUCGCUCCUCUCCCUUGCCCUUUUGAUGACAAACAGUUGGCAGCAGAUGAAAGCACAAACAGGAUGAAUGUUUUGCAUAUUCUGUCCUACAUGGCCCAAAAAGAGCAGAGAUGGAAUUUUUUUCAUCUUCCACUUUAAACUGCAUUUAAUAUGUGGCCUAGUUCUGCGCUCUGCGACGCGCUUCCCCCCAGGCCGCACUUCUGCUCUGUGGGCUGGAGGCCUGGGGCUGCCCUGGGGCUCUGGGUCGGUUCCUUUGCUGCACUGAAUGCGUCGAGCCCUGGUUCUGGCUCUGGCCUGGCCCUGGUUCUGGCUAUGGCUGUGGCUCUGGUUCUGGUGGUAAUGCAGAAGGCUGCAGUGGGAGCAGUCAGUGUGGGUGUCCUGGGUUGCAUCUCUGAGUGCUGUCCCUGCAGCCCACGGUUCCUCACAGUGCUUUCCCCAGGAGUCCGCAGGUUCGAACCACUUGCUGGCACUUGCCAGCUGUGCUUCCUUCUUUUUGGGAAUCUAGAAGCAGUAAAAGCUUGAGGUGCCUGCUGCUGUGUAGCAUGGGAGCCCCAGCACAGCCGCCGUGUGUCCGUGUGUCCGCCGCCUGUCCCCUGUCCUGCCCUUCCCUCUAGUGGGGUGACCCGUCAUUGCAGCCGAGCCGUGGGUCACAGCCUCCACAGGCACUUCUCUUUAGGCAAUCGGCCACUUCUGACACAGAUCUGCUACGUAAUAUUAAAGAGGGCUUCACAGAGGCAGGUGGUGGUGGUUGGUCCCGUCUGGCCUCCUCCACUGAGCUCCUCCACUGAUUUUUUGUGGGGCCAUAGCAAUGAUUCGUGUUUCAGAACUUUGGUCACUGUGGGACUGUUGGUUGUGGCCUACUGAGCUCGCCAGUUGCUGUGACCUGGAUUUUUUUUUGAUGUGUGGAAAUGGACAUUCAUUAUAACACUAAAAAUGUUUGCAUAGUUUGAGUACCUGAAUGACGCAGUAAAGAUUUCGAGUGCUCUUUCAGCUAGUGUUCCUUUCUGUGGUUUUGAGGAACUUGUUCUCCAGCCAAUUAAAUGUUCUUGAGCCAUUUUGAUUUACUCAGUUUUUUUUUAAUGUCUUAAUCUAUCCCACGUGUACCCUCUUCCCCUUGUCCACCUCUCUGAGUGCCCCUGUACUCCCCACCAACUUCACCGUAGUAAAUUGAUGGGGAUUUAUGCUCUGGCAGGACCUGAGGACUUCCAGCAACAACAAACACACGCACAACAAGAAGUGGUGCUUUCAGAGGUAGAUAGCAAAUUGUCCAAAGGGAUUCAAACUCAGCUGGGUGAGUGCUGACAUCUCAAACUGAGCGUGGCUCCGCGAUGGCAGCUCUGCUCCUCGGGAGGCUGCUCUUCCCCUGUGCUUCUGCCCCUUUCUGAAUGCUGCCACGGCUUGCUUCGUGUUGGCCGUGGAAUUCAUUGAGAUACUCAUGUUGGGAGGAGGUGAGCACACCGGCUUCCUUAUCAGCCUGCUGGCAUGUUGAGCUGCUUCUUAGGUGUGAUGAGUAGAAGGCAGUUGUGCCAGCUCUUGCUUGUUGUGGACGGUCUGCAAGUUUUAGCUUGAAGCUGUGGUUGGAAGUGGCUCCAUGUGAACUCCUUCAUGGUAUUUCUCGUUCUGUUCUUAGAAAUAGAAGAGCAGCAGGAAGCAUGUGUUUUCUAGCUGCUUUCAUACCCACAGAUUCAGGUCAUUUAAAUAAGAGAAACAGACAGUUAACUUACUGUACUCCUCUCCUGUUCAGAGCUCAAUGCUUAAACAUGUCAGGUUGUGUGUUCUGCAGAGGUGUCCAUGCCCAUAGCUUGCCCUGCUCUGCUGCACGUGCACCUUCAGCACUGCAGCACUUAUGCAGAUCUGCAUAAGCAUCGUAAGUUUUCACUGAUUAAAAACAUGCUGUACCUGAUCUCUAGCCAGUGUCUGGCAAUAGAUGCUUAGAUGUGCUGUGACAUGCAAUUAAUAGCUGAGAUCUCUCUACUGAGGUAUUGCUUUGGGCUGUGGUAGGACUGCCUGCUGAAGUUCAGCACACUAGAGAUUGUAUGUACUAAUUUUGCAUUUAACACAGCCUGGUAUGUCACGUGGAGCUUCCUGCUCUGUGUGCACCAGGUCCCAUUGGGUGGGUUCAGUACAUGCUGGUUUUGUGGACUUUUAAAUUCCAGUGCUGAUGCUGCAAUACCAAUGAGUAUGGUGUACAUAAAAGUGAUUAAAAAAAAGAAAACGAGAACAGAUAGUAUUUUUGCCCAGAAUUAAACUAUGUGUCUGGCUCAUAGCUGCUGCAUGCAGUGGGGGCAUUGGCAGGAAGGGAGGGAACACGGCAGGUCCUGCAGUUUCACUCUGUGCUGAGUGAAGAAGGUUUUGAGGGAAUGUGAAGUGACAGCUGAACAGAAAGUGAGCUCCUGGGUAGUGACAGCUCCAUGCAGGAGCAGCGAGAAUUUCCUUUGCUUUAUGCUGUCAAGCCAGUGAAAUGCAAAUCUUUGGGUGCUGUAUAUAUUAAAGCAUAUUAACUCUUCUUUUCCUUCCUCUCCUAUGU
This is a non-coding RNA of Meleagris gallopavo (turkey), 21743 nucleotides long. The record is from RefSeq and is a predicted model, not a curated record. Lineage: Eukaryota; Metazoa; Chordata; Aves; Galliformes; Phasianidae.